Molecule: ribosomal RNA, 492 nt
Filed under: uncultured bacterium
Lineage: Bacteria
Description: partial 16S ribosomal RNA
Rfam family: Bacterial small subunit ribosomal RNA
Source: RNAcentral
AUUGAACGCUGGCGGCAUGCCUUACACAUGCAAGUCGAACGGCAGCACGGUAACUGCUACCUGGUGCCGGUUGCCGGUCGCGUGCGUAUUACAUCGGCACCUGUAUCUACUUUUGGGUGAGCGCGGACGUAGCCAGAUUAAUACCACUAACGCAUUCCGGCUUCAGGUGGAAGCCCUGGAGCUUCGGCGCUUUCGCGAUGGCCGGUGCCGAUGGCGGAUUAGCUAGUUGGCGGGGUAAAGGCCCACCAAGGCGACGAUCCGUAGCUGGUCUGAGAGGAUGAUCAGCCACACUGGAACUGAGACACGGUCCAGACUCCUACGGGAGGCAGCAGUGGGGAAUUUUGGACAAUGGGCGAAAGCCUGAUCCAGCAAUACCGCGUGGGUGAAGAAGGCCUUCGGGUUGUAAAGCCCUUUUGUUCGGAAAGAAAAGCUGGGGGCUAAUACGCCGCGGUGAUGACGGUACCGAAAGAAUAAGCACCGGCUAACUACGUG